Molecule: ribosomal RNA, 492 nt
Filed under: uncultured bacterium
Lineage: Bacteria
Description: partial 16S ribosomal RNA
Rfam family: Bacterial small subunit ribosomal RNA
Source: RNAcentral
AGUGAACGCUGGCGGUAGGCCUAACACAUGCAAGUCGAACGGCAGCACAGUAAGAGCUUGCUCUUACGGGUGGCGAGUGGCGGACGGGUGAGGAAUACAUCGGAGUCUACUUUUUCGUGGGGGAUAACGUAGGGAAACUUACGCUAAUACCGCAUACGACCUACGGGUGAAAGCAGGGGAUCUUCGGACCUUGCGCGAUUGAAUGAGCCGAUGUCGGAUUAGCUAGUUGGCGGGGUAAAGGUCCACCAAGGCGACGAUCCGUAGCUGGUCUGAGAGGAUGAUCAGCCACACUGGAACUGAGACGCGGUCCAGACUCCUACGGGAGGCAGCAGUGGGGAAUAUUGGACAAUGGGCGCAAGCCUGAUCCAGCCAUACCGCGUGGGUGAAGAAGGCCUUCGGGUUGUAAAGCCCUUUUGUUGGGAAAGAAAAGCAGCAGGUUAAUACCCCGCUGUUCUGACGGUACCCAAAGAAUAAGCACCGGCUAACUUCGUG